UCAUUAGUUUUUUAAUUGAAGGCUUGUAUGAAGGGUUGGACAAAGAAAGAUCUGUCUUUAUUUUUAUUUUUGAAUUUUACUUUUAAGUGAAAAGGCUUAAUUAUAUUUAAGGGACGAUAAGACCCUAUAAAUCUUUAAUAUUAAUUUGUUUUAUAUAAAUUAAUAAAGUUAAUAAAUAUAUUAUUAAGAUAAAAUAUAUUUUAUUGGGGUGAUGAGAAUAUAAAAUUAACUGUUCUUAAAUGUAAACAAAGUUAUUUGUUAAAAUUUAUUGAUCCUAUAUAAAGAUAAAAAGUUUAAGUUACUUUAGGGAUAACAGCGUUAUUUUUUUUGAGAGUUCUUAUCGAAAAAAAAGUUUGCGACCUCGAUGUUGAAUUAAAAUUUCUUUAUGGUUGUAGUUGCUAUAAAUAGAGAGUCUGUUCGACUUUUAAAGUUUU
This 434-nucleotide ribosomal RNA is filed under the name Leptonida delicata. Its description in RNAcentral is "Munida delicata partial 16S ribosomal RNA". The stretch from base 309 to 434 matches the Rfam family "Bacterial large subunit ribosomal RNA", at positions 2473 to 2597 of the family's 2925-position model. Lineage: Eukaryota; Metazoa; Arthropoda; Malacostraca; Decapoda; Munididae. The record is from RNAcentral.